CUUGGCUUGUUCCAAAAUCUAACGAGCCAAGCUAGAAUUUUAGCUCAUUUAGAUAACGAGCUGGCACGAGUCAGCUCCAAACGAGCUAGUUUCACAGUGAUCUUCAGUUUACUCAUGGGUCAUCUUCAUCUUCGAUGAAGAGACUCCUCGUCAGCUUACUUUGCUUUCUAUUGAACUAGUAGCCUCAUGAGCUGGCCGAGCCAGCUGGGUCGUUAUCCAGCCCAGACCAAAGGAAAUGGAACAAUGCUGAAGAAAGCAAAGGGCUUAGACAGAUCUGUAUACUAGGAAAUGAAGGAAAAUGGAACAUGUCUCUCCCAUGUUCUUGCGCCUCAGUAGAUCAGAGGGGUCCCAUGCUGCUCUGGUCAUCUGAUGCCUUUAACUUCUAUUGUAGCUUCAGAGGGAGGGAUCCAAUUGAUGGAGGCUCCGGCGACCUGUGCUCUCGGGGGCGCCAUGUUCAAGCUUCCCGGGAGGCUCGAUGGGAUACUGCACCGUGGCUACAUGCUGCCCAAGGGCGCAGAGGAAGAGAUUUCGCUCACGCUUUUUGAGUCAAAUCGUGAAAUCUUCUCUUACGCUUUUUAAAGUGUGACUUAUUAUCGUUUGCUUUGACAUCAAGCAAGCAUCCCGAUAUUGACGCGUGUACUUCAUUUUGCGAUCUUGAUCAUCGGUAAGUCUCUUCCUCUCGAGCCUCCUUGUCACUUGCACCGGUAUCCCUUCGCUUGACUUUGUCAGCAUGCUAUCUUCAUCAUUCCUUCCAUACUUUGUUUGGUCUCUAUGUGCACAGCUAGGAUCAUCCUUGACUCGGCCUGACCUCUUUGAUCGUCCGGCACCAAGCACCCCACUUGGUCCUGAUCAUCCCACCGUCGACCGUCAAGUCGCAUCCAUCACAUACACAGCAUGAGACAAG
This is a long non-coding RNA of Phragmites australis (common reed), 904 nucleotides long. RefSeq lists it as uncharacterized. The record is from RefSeq and is a predicted model, not a curated record. Lineage: Eukaryota; Viridiplantae; Streptophyta; Magnoliopsida; Poales; Poaceae. The transcript has 3 exons.